Molecule: ribosomal RNA, 550 nt
Filed under: Nigrospora sp. TPL9
Lineage: Eukaryota; Fungi; Ascomycota; Sordariomycetes; Amphisphaeriales; Apiosporaceae
Description: eukaryotic LSU rRNA
Rfam family: 5.8S ribosomal RNA (bases 213-366)
Source: RNAcentral
UUUUGGAAGUAAAAAAACGUAACAAGGUCUCCGUUGGUGAACCAGCGGAGGGAUCAUUACAGAGUUAUCCAACUCCCAAACCCAUGUGAACUUAUCUCUUUGUUGCCUCGGCGCAAGCUACCCGGGACCUCGCGCCCCGGGGGGCCCGCCGGCGGACAAACCAAACUCUGUUAUCUUCGUUGAUUAUCUGAGUGUCUUAUUUAAUAAGUCAAAACUUUCAACAACGGAUCUCUUGGUUCUGGCAUCGAUGAAGAACGCAGCGAAAUGCGAUAAGUAAUGUGAAUUGCAGAAUUCAGUGAAUCAUCGAAUCUUUGAACGCACAUUGCGCCCAUUAGUAUUCUAGUGGGCAUGCCUGUUCGAGCGUCAUUUCAACCCCUAAGCACAGCUUAUUGUUGGGACUCUACGGCUUCGUAGUUCCCCAAAGACAUUGGCGGAGUGGCAGCAGUCCUCUGAGCGUAGUAAUUCUUUAUCUCGCUUUUGUUAGGCGCUGCCCCCCCGGCCGUAAAACCCCCAAUUUUCUGGUGACCUCGAUCAGUAGCAAGCCCGCCCC